AUGGCAAGAGCAGGAUGUAGAUGGAACAGCAAGUGCAGAUGGCAAGAAGACAGAAACCAAUGUUUGCUCCAUUCCAAGUACCAUUUGGCUAACCCCAUUCUGCUAAGCCACAAAGCCACACUAAAGGAAGGGACUGAUAAUACCAGCCACAUGGGGCAGGACCUCUCCAAGGUCACAGAUUCUCUGUCCUUUCUCUGUGGCUCCCCUCCAAGGAUACACGUGGGCAAGGUUUCCAUUCACAUGGGGACAAAGAGAAAGAGAAAAAGCAUUUCACAAUUACUGUUUAAGAUAAGUGAAUUAUUUAAGUUGUAAAAAAGACUCAGGAGAGGGCUGGUUGCAUUUAGCUGCACUCCUUCUAUACAAAUGUGUUUAAAAAACAAAGACAUGGGGACAAAAGGGAAUGAUGAGAAAACAGCAGCAAAGCAACGUUGACAGUUUAAAAUCAGAAGGACUAGAGAGGCAGCUUGCAUGUCCAGUCCCAGGACAGCUGAACCUGGAGACCGCACUGUGCAGGCUAAGCAACAAUCCACUUUGCUCUAGAGAGCCUAUGGCCUCAAGCAUUGGUAGUGCAGGAACAUCUAGAGGAGGGAGACACAGUGGAGAAAAACUAGAAAGUACAUUGUGAUUUUCUUCAAGGACAUUUUUUAAAAACAGUACUUAUUUAUUUAUUCUUACUUAUUUGAAAGGCAGAGAGACAAGGAAGAGAGACAGAGACAGAGACAGAGAUCUUUCUUCCACUGGGUCACUCCCUAUACACCCACAAUAGCUGGGACUGGACACGGAUGAGGCUGGGAACUUAGACCUCAAUGCAAGUCUCCCAUGUUCAUGGCAGAAACCCAACUACUCCAGCCAUCACCUGGUGUGCAUCUGCAGGAAGCUGUAAUUCAGAGCAUAGCUGGAACUCAAACAGGCAAUGAUUGCUCUAUGGGAUAUGGGUGUCCCAACCAGCGUCCUAACUGCCAUGUCAAAUGCCAGUUCCUUCAACCAUUUCACAUGGCCAGACAACUGCCUCUGUCCCACUCCAGAAAAAGAUUGGAGGAUUUAUGUUCAAAAUGAGAGAAAACAGAUAGGUCUAUUACUAGUGAAAAGUAGAAGUAUGUUAGUAAAAAUGGGUACUAAGUGAAAUUUUACUUAUUAAUAUUCAGAUUGCGAAAGACUAGCAGAUAAUUCUCUACGAUUCUGAUUAACUUGACUGAGAAGUCAUGAUUUGGGAAAGUCUUUGUUGAGAUAGUCUAAACAACCCAAAUUUGAAAAGUAUCAUCUGUAUAAAGAAUUUCCAUGGAGCCCUGGUACCACAUUCUUCAAUCUGAGCAGAUGGGUAAGGACAUGCACACUUUGGAGUAAAUAAGCUAACACACAAAACAAAAACCAAAGAACAUAGAAGGAAAUUUAAGGGAAACACAAACGAUACAUGGAGGACUUCAAACAUCAACAAUAUUGUCAUAUCAUCAGAGAAAAUGGGAACUAUUCUAUCAAGAACAGCACGAGGGGCCAGCGCUGUGGCAUAGCUGGUAAAGCCACUGCCUGCAGCGCUGGCAUCCUGUAUGGGUGCUGGUUCAAGUCCCGGCUGCUCUACUUUCAAUGUAGCUCUCUGCUGUGGCCUGGGAAAGCGGUGGAAGUUGGCCCAAGUGCUUGGGCCCCUGCAUGGGAGACCCAGAAGAAGCUCCUGGCUUCUGGCUUCAGACCAGCACAGCUCCGGCCAUUGUGGCCAUCUGGGCAGUGAACUAGUGGAUGAAAGACCUUUCUCUCUCUCUCUCUCUCUGCCUCUGCCUUUCUGUAACUCUGCCUUUCAAAUAAAUAAAUAAAUCUAUAAAAAAGAAAAAAGAAC
This 1828-nucleotide long non-coding RNA is filed under the name Oryctolagus cuniculus (rabbit). Its description in RNAcentral is "lncRNA (ENSOCUG00000032192.1)". Lineage: Eukaryota; Metazoa; Chordata; Mammalia; Lagomorpha; Leporidae. The record is from RNAcentral.